GGGCAUCUAGUUCAUCGGUUAGAACGCUUUCCUGAUAAGAAAGAGGUGCAUGGUUCGAUUCCAUGGAUGCCCACAA
Molecule: transfer RNA, 76 nt
Filed under: Candidatus Levybacteria bacterium CG2_30_37_29
Lineage: Bacteria; Candidatus Levyibacteriota
Also listed under: 1 other name
Description: tRNA-Ile
Rfam family: tRNA
About the family: Transfer RNA (tRNA) molecules are approximately 80 nucleotides in length.
Source: RNAcentral